This 497-nucleotide ribosomal RNA is filed under the name uncultured bacterium. RNAcentral's name for it is "partial 16S ribosomal RNA". It matches the Rfam family "Bacterial small subunit ribosomal RNA", at positions 28 to 507 of the family's 1533-position model. The record is from RNAcentral.
GAUGAACGCUGGCGGCGUGCCUAAUACAUGCAAGUCGAGCGAACGGACGAGAAGCUUGCUUCUCUGAUGUUAGCGGCGGACGGGUGAGUAACACGUGGAUAACCUACCUAUAAGACUGGGAUAACUUCGGGAAACCGGAGCUAAUACCGGAUAAUAUUUUGAACCGCAUGGUUCAAAAGUGAAAGACGGUCUUGCUGUCACUUAUAGAUGGAUCCGCGCUGCAUUAGCUAGUUGGUAAGGUAACGGCUUACCAAGGCAACGAUGCAUAGCCGACCUGAGAGGGUGAUCGGCCACACUGGAACUGAGACACGGUCAAGACUCCUACGGGAGGCAGCAGUAGGGAAUAUUCCGCAAUGGGCGAAAGCCUGACGGAGCAACGCCGCGUGAGUGAUGAAGGUCUUCGGAUCGUAAAACUCUGUUAUUAGGGAAGAACAUAUGUGUAAGUAACUGUGCACAUCUUGACGGUACCUAAUCAGAAAGCCACGGCUAACUACGUG